UACGUAUGGAGCAAGCGUUAUCCGGAUUUACUGGGUGUAAAGGGAGUGUAGGUGGCCAUGCAAGUCAGAAGUGAAAAUCCGGGGCUCAACCCCGGAACUGCUUUUGAAACUGUGAGGCUGGAGUACAGGAGGGGUGAGUGGAAUUCCUAGUGUAGCGGUGAAAUGCGUAGAUAUUAGGAGGAACACCAGUGGCGAAGGCGGCUCACUGGACUGUAACUGACACUGAGGCUCGAAAGCGUGGGGAGCAAACAGG
Molecule: ribosomal RNA, 253 nt
Filed under: Lachnospira eligens
Lineage: Bacteria; Bacillati; Bacillota; Clostridia; Lachnospirales; Lachnospiraceae
Description: partial 16S ribosomal RNA
Rfam family: Bacterial small subunit ribosomal RNA
Source: RNAcentral